GGCUCCUCCUGCACUACUGAUGAUGACUUGUCUACCUGAUGAAAAUUAAAACACUGGAAUCACAAUUCAGUUUUUAUCUUUUGCUCAUUUGUUCCUUCAGUUGAACACAGUGUAUGGCAUUGUUUCCCAUAGACUGGGCCGUUUUUUGUUUUUGUUUUGGGUCAUCUAGCCUCAUGUUUCCCAGGAGUUUACGAAUAAUGUCUAUUGACUUGGGUCGUGAAAGUUUGUGACUUUUAAAAUAUGGGUCCCCAGAAAAUAAGUUUUGGAAACACUACUGUAUGGUAAUAGGUAUAGUGUGGAUGAGAACAUACACAGACAUUUUACUGCUGUGUAACAGUUUUUUGUUUUUCAGUUGUUUCUGUACAUUGAUUAUUUAGUGUUGGUUUUCAUGAAUACAUUAACAUGUCAUGUAUUUCCCCUCAGAUUUCCAAUAAGAAUGAGGGGGAAAAUGGCUGUCAAUGAAGGACUUCAAGAGAAGCUUGUGGCACUUCCUUUCAUCAGUGCUCUCACAGGUGUGAUCACAAAGAGGAAUUAGCAUGUACUGGAAGAUGAAGGCACAAACUGCAGCUACAUAAAAACGCUUGUAGCGCUGCCAUAAAACAGUGUUCGUGUUACGGAGCUUCAGCAGAAUGAGCCUUUAACUCCAUCCUGACGCCCUGUUUGAAUUCAGCACUGUCGUCGCUGCGCACACAUGCGCAGAUCACCGCAGCAGUGACUAGACAUUCGGUCAUGAGAGCAGUGGAGGGGGCGCUCCAAGCACGUCUGAACACAUCGAGACUCGGAGGCACAUUAAAAAGAGCGUCAGAGCGCUAAUUGUGGCCGUUUUGCUCCUUCUUACUUCUCCCGCAGAAACCCGCCGGGGAGCACCGACGUGCGGCCGGGACCGUGCGUCCUGCUGACGCGGGUAGGUCAGUCGCACAAGCACGGUCCGCCAUUCCCCUCAUUCAUUUAUAUAUAAUUCAACAAGAAGCGCUGUCAUUUUGUUUCUGAGGAUGUUUCCCAGCCACGUCUGUGUUCAUGUGGAUAUGUGAUUAUUUGCCGGCAUUUAUCUUCAGUCCAGCUGCAGCUAUUUAAACAUUCAGACGCAACGAGCGGUUUGUCGCAGCAGAGCAGGUACAGACAGUCCUCUCUCUGACAGGCGCAGAA
Molecule: long non-coding RNA, 1146 nt
Organism: Cynoglossus semilaevis (tongue sole)
Lineage: Eukaryota; Metazoa; Chordata; Actinopteri; Pleuronectiformes; Cynoglossidae
Exons: 2
Source: RefSeq, a predicted model, not a curated record